UACGUAGGUCCCGAGCGUUGUCCGGAUUUAUUGGGCGUAAAGCGAGCGCAGGUGGUUUAUUAAGUCUGGUGUAAAAGGCAGUGGCUCAACCAUUGUAUGCAUUGGAAACUGGUAGACUUGAGUGCAGGAGAGGAGAGUGGAAUUCCAUGUGUAGCAGUGAAAUGCGUAGAUAUAUGGAGGAACACCGGUGGCGAAAGCGGCUCUCUGGCCUGUAACUGACACUGAGGCUCGAAAGCGUGGGGAGCAAACAGG
Molecule: ribosomal RNA, 252 nt
Filed under: uncultured bacterium
Lineage: Bacteria
Description: partial 16S ribosomal RNA
Rfam family: Bacterial small subunit ribosomal RNA
Source: RNAcentral